This is a non-coding RNA of Picea glauca (white spruce), 45 nucleotides long. The record is from Rfam. NCBI's taxonomy places the organism in Eukaryota, Viridiplantae, Streptophyta, Pinopsida, Pinales, Pinaceae.
GUAAUGGUGUCUUUAGACACCACCUUAUGAUCUUAAAAAUAUUAU